UACGUAGGGGGCAAGCGUUGUCCGGAUUUAUUGGGCGUAAAGAGCGUGUAGGCGGCUUUACAGGUCCGUUGUGAAAACUCGAGGCUCAACCUCGAGACGCCGGUGGAAACCGUAAGGCUAGAGUCCGGAAGAGGAGAGUGGAAUUCCUGGUGUAGCGGUGAAAUGCGCAGAUAUCAGGAAGAACACCCGUGGCGAAGGCGGCUCGCUGGGACGGUACUGACGCUGAGACGCGAAAGCGUGGGGAGCGAACAGG
RNAcentral lists this ribosomal RNA (253 nucleotides) under uncultured bacterium. Its description in RNAcentral is "partial 16S ribosomal RNA". It matches the Rfam family "Bacterial small subunit ribosomal RNA", at positions 524 to 776 of the family's 1533-position model. The record is from RNAcentral.